AGAGCUAAUACAUGCAAACAGAGUCCCGACCGUAAAUGGAAGGGACGCUUUUAUUAGAUCAAAACCAAUCGACGUCCGUCGGCUCUCGGGCCGACGGCGCCGUACUCCUUGGUGACUCUGAAUAACUUUUGGCAGAUCGCACGGUCUUCGAACCGGCGACGCAUCCUUCAAAUGUCUGCCUUAUCAACUGUCGAUGGUAGGUUCUGCGCCUACCAUGGUUGUAACGGGUAACGGGGAAUCAGGGUUCGAUUCCGGAGAGGGAGCCUGAGAAACGGCUACCACAUCCAAGGAAGGCAGCAGGCGCGCAAAUUACCCACUCCCGG
This 323-nucleotide ribosomal RNA is filed under the name Diareusa imitatrix. RNAcentral describes it as "SSU rRNA". It matches the Rfam family "Eukaryotic small subunit ribosomal RNA", at positions 160 to 454 of the family's 1831-position model. Lineage: Eukaryota; Metazoa; Arthropoda; Insecta; Hemiptera; Fulgoridae. The record is from RNAcentral.